CAAUAGCGUAUAUUAAAGUUGUUGCAGUUAAAAGCUCGUAGUUGGAUUUCUGCUGAGGACGACCGGUCCGCCCUCUGGGUGAGUAUCUGGCUCGGCCUGGGCAUCUUCUUGAAGAACGUAACUGCACUUGACUGUGUGGUGCGGUAUUCAGGACUUUUACUUUGAGGAAAUUAGAGUGUUUCAAGCAGGCAUACGCCUUGAAUACAUUAGCAUGGAAUAAUAAGAUAGGACCUUAGUUCUAUUUUGUUGGUUUCUAGAGCUUAGGUAAUGAUUAAUAGGGAUAGUUGGGGGCAUUCGUAUUUAACUGUCAGAGGUGAAAUUCUUGGAUUUGUUAAAGAUGGACUACUGCGAAAGCAUUUGCCAAGGAUGUUUUCAUUGAUCAAGAACGAAAGUUAGGGGAUCGAAGAUGAUCAGAUACCAU
This 421-nucleotide ribosomal RNA is filed under the name uncultured eukaryote. Its description in RNAcentral is "SSU rRNA". It matches the Rfam family "Eukaryotic small subunit ribosomal RNA", at positions 592 to 1018 of the family's 1831-position model. The record is from RNAcentral.